CCCUUAGAUGUUCUGGGCCGCACGCGCGCUACACUGAUGCAUUCAACGAGCCUAUCCUUGACCGACAGGUCCGGGUAAUCUUUGAAUCUGCAUCGUGACGGGGAUAGAUUAUUGCAAUUAUUAAUCUUCAACGAGGAAUGCCUAGUAGGCGCAAGUCAUCAGCUUGCGUCGAUUACGUCCCUGCCCUUUGUACACACCGCCCGUCGCACCUACCGAUUGAAUGUUUCGGUGAAGAUUCCGGAUAGGACUUUUUUGAUUUAUUUCAAUUCUGUCUUAAAAGCUAUCUAAACCUCAACAUUUAGAGGAAGGUGAAGUCGUAACA
Molecule: ribosomal RNA, 322 nt
Filed under: uncultured eukaryote
Lineage: Eukaryota
Description: partial 18S ribosomal RNA
Rfam family: Eukaryotic small subunit ribosomal RNA
Source: RNAcentral